GAUGAACGCUGGCGGCGUGCUUAACACAUGCAAGUCGAACGAAGCAUUUAGAACAGAUUACUUCGGUUUGAAGUUCUUUAUGACUGAGUGGCGGACGGGUGAGUAACGCGUGGGUAACCUGCCUUGUACUGGGGGAUAGCAGCUGGAAACGGCUGGUAAUACCGCAUAAGCGCACAAUGUUGCAUGACAUGGUGUGAAAAACUCCGGUGGUAUAAGAUGGACCCGCGUCUGAUUAGCUAGUUGGUGAGAUAACAGCCCACCAAGGCGACGAUCAGUAGCCGACCUGAGAGGGUGACCGGCCACAUUGGGACUGAGACACGGCCCAGACUCCUACGGGAGGCAGCAGUGGGGAAUAUUGCACAAUGGAGGAAACUCUGAUGCAGCGACGCCGCGUGAGUGAAGAAGUAAUUCGUUAUGUAAAGCUCUAUCAGCAGGGAAGAUAGUGACGGUACCUGACGAAGAAGCUCCGGCUAAACACGUG
Molecule: ribosomal RNA, 481 nt
Filed under: uncultured bacterium
Lineage: Bacteria
Description: partial 16S ribosomal RNA
Rfam family: Bacterial small subunit ribosomal RNA
Source: RNAcentral